Molecule: RNA transcript, 3127 nt
Organism: Oncorhynchus keta (chum salmon)
Lineage: Eukaryota; Metazoa; Chordata; Actinopteri; Salmoniformes; Salmonidae
Gene name: E3 ubiquitin-protein ligase XIAP-like
Exons: 9
Source: RefSeq, a predicted model, not a curated record
GGUCAGGUGGGCUGCGCCUGUAGUGGUGCGCAGAACAACACCAACGCUGAACUUACUUCCCGAAACCAGGGUCAAAUAGUCUGGUCAAAAAUACUGGUGAUCUGUCUUAUUUGGAAAGGAGACAGGCAUCAUCCAAGACCUCACAGACACAAGUUGACAUCCAAGCUUUUCCAAGUCCAUCCAUCUCAGGCAGCCCUGUCCCUGUGUCGUGAUGUCAGGCCCCGGGAGAGACAGUGAUCUGGAGUCGGACCACGCAGUAGACUGGUCCAUGAUGGACAUGCGGCUGGACUCGUUCCGGGGUUCCCCCCUGGCCCAGCAGGUGUCAGCGGAAAGGCUGGCCCGUGCUGGGUUUUACUUCACAGGACAGGCUGACAAGGUGCGCUGUUUCAGCUGCCACAAAACUGUAGAGAACUGGUGUGGAGGGGACACACCCGCAGAGAGGCACGCGGAGGUCUCCCCCAACUGUAAGUUCCUGAGCUGCACCCAUCGUUCCAGGGUCAACUCUCUUCAAGGUGCCAUGCUGACCAACGAACCCCACUACAACGAAGACGCAGAGGACAUGGAGUUCCGCCUGAGAACGGGAGAGGUGGUGGAUGAGUCCACCUACCCCAUGGUCCCGCACAUGGUCAGCGAAGACUCCCGGUUCAACACCUUAGGCCCGUGGCCCUCCACAUCCCCGGUCCGGCCUAGAGAGCUGGCCCAGGCAGGGCUCUUCUAUCUGGGGGAGAGUGACCGGGUGCAGUGCUUCUGCUGUGGAGGGAUGCUGGGGGGCUGGGAGCCUGGGGACACGGCGUGGGGGGAGCACUCCAAACACUUCCCCUACUGCUUCUUCAUACUGGGGCAUGAUGUGGGGAACCUCCCCUCUCAGGCGGGGAGAGAGGAGGAGGUAGGGGAGACCAGGCCACGCCCGGGUCCUCGGGUCCCCAUGCAGAGCUUUGAGGAGAGGCUAGGCAGCUUUGCAGGAAUCCAGCACCCUAUUGACCACGAGAGGCUGGCCAGAGCAGGCUUCUACAACACAGGAGCUCCAGACCGUGUGGUGUGUUUCUGCUGUGGUGGAGGUCUGAAGGGCUGGCAGCCGGACGAGAAUCCCUGGGAGGAGCACGCCAAACACUAUCCGGGGUGUAAUUUUCUGCUGACAGAGAAAGGACAGGAGUUUGUCAGCAGUGUUCAGUUACAAGGUCCUGGCUGGAACACUGCUGCUUCAAGUCACCUGAAUGGAUGUUCAAGUCACGGAACAGAGGUGCUGAGGUCAGCCAUGGCCCAGAGGGCGGUAGAGAUGGGUCUGGAGCCUGCCCUGGUAGAGAGGACCAUACUGGAGAGGAUACGCAGAGCUGGGACAGGCUACUCCACCCUGGAGACUCUGCUGCAGGACUGCUUUAACAGAGGCCCUGACAGCGACGCAGAGACCGCAGAGAACCAUGAUGAGGAUCCCUUUGAGAAGCUACGGAAGCUGCAGAGGGAGAAACAGUGCAAAGUGUGUAUGGACAGAGACAUCUGCAUCGUCUUCAUCCCCUGUGGGCACCUGGUCGUCUGCAAGGAGUGUUCCGAGGCCCUCGACAAGUGUCCCAUCUGCUGUGCAGCCAUCACACAAAAGAUCAAGACAUACAUCUCCUAACAUGCAAUCUGGUGUCAGGGAUUGUCAUCUCCAGAGUAGGAGUGCUGACCUUGGAUCAGGUCCCGUCUCUUAAUCAUUAUGUUUUAAAAGGCAAAAGUGAGCCUAGAUCAGCAGUCUUAAUCUGAGAUGCUUAAUGAAUGCUGGCCCAGGAGGAUAACUAUUUUAAUUGGCAAUGCUGCUUUACCACCUCAGUGAUUUUAUAAACACAGGCUUUCCUACUACACAAUGUACAUAUAGAAAUAUUAUAUUUGAGGAGGACCACUGUAAAUAUGAAUAAGAGAAUCAUGGAAAGUGUGGGGAUUUUAUUUUUCAAUGAUUGUUGUAUAGAUGACACUUCCUUGUUAUGUGACGUAUCAUUGAGGUUCACCCGAUAAUACCCAAGAGGCAAUGGGCCUCACUUUCCCAUCUUGGUAUGUGACCUUUCAUUGAGGUUCACCUGAUAAUACCCAAGAGGCAAUGGGCCUCACUUUCCCAUCUUAUGUGACCUUUCAUUGAGGUUCACCUGAUAAUACCCAAGAGGCAAUGGGCCUCACUUUCCCAUCUUGGUAUGUGACCUUUCAUUGAGGUUCACCUGAUAAUACCCAAGAGGCAAUGGGCCUCACUUUCCCAUCUUGGUAUGUGACCUUUCAUUGAGGUUCACCUGAUAAUACCCAAGAGGCAAUGGGCCUCACUUUCCCAUCUUAUGUGACCUUUCAUUGAGGUUCACCCGAUAAUACCCAAGAGGCAAUGGGCCUCACUUUCCCAUCUUGGUAUGAAGAUUCAAAGGUUGAGACUAUAUGGAGUACAGCUAUGAACAGAAAUGACUUUACGCAGCAGGUUAGGUAAAGGUUAGGGUUAGAUAAAAUGCUACAGUUGUCCCUGACGUGAGUUGAACAUGCAUCUUUUUGUCCAUGGCUGUAUCCAUCUACCCACAGUUCUGAUACUUACAUUUGAGUAAUUUAGCAGAUGCUCUUAUCCACAAUAGUGAGUGCAUACAUUUUAAUUUCUAGGUCCGCUGUGCAGCACCAUGAUCUAGCGUUGCAGCUAUCAACAGUGCCUUUUCCAACAAUCUCAUUUACUUCUGUGUGUUUUCUUUAUUCAGACUAUCACAUCAUUUCCAUGUUUUCUUCAUAUUUCUCUUAAAUUUAUGAAGUUGUUGACUGGGCUUUUGUUAUUGGUUUGCAAGUCAUGUGUUUGUAGUUAGUUUCCAAAGUACAUGUUUCUGAAGUAGAAGUUGUGAGAGUUCCCAAACGUACUGUCUGUUCCUUGGGCCAACUAGUAUGCUUUCAGUGUGGGACUCUUUUAUGAUUCAUUAUGUGUGCUCUUGUGUGAAUAAAUAGAUGAAUUGUAGACUUGGAUCAAUUUCCAUUAUUUAUAUAUAACGGCAUAACUGACAUCCACUUAAUUACUUGAUUUAGUUCUAGAGAUCACGUCCAAAUAUUAUACCCCUUUUUUAAAUUGUGUUGUUCGGAAAUUAAUCUUUUCAAGUGCAACUCGUUUGACCAAGACUGGAAAAUAAAUGUUUAAAAAAUG